UACGAAGGGGGGCUAGCGUUGCUCGGAAUUACUGGGCGUAAAGGGCGCGUAGGCGGAUAUCUAAGUUGGGGGUGAAAUCCCGGGGCUCAACCUCGGAAUUGCCUUCAAAACUGAAUAUCUUGAGUUCGGGGAGAGGUGAGUGGAACUCCGAGUGUAGAGGUGAAAUUCGUAGAUAUUGGGAAGAACACCGGUGGCGAAGGCGGCCAUCUGGACCGCAACUGACGCUGAGGCGCGAAAGCGUGGGGAGCAAACAGG
RNAcentral lists this ribosomal RNA (255 nucleotides) under uncultured bacterium. RNAcentral's name for it is "partial 16S ribosomal RNA". It matches the Rfam family "Bacterial small subunit ribosomal RNA", at positions 524 to 776 of the family's 1533-position model. The record is from RNAcentral.